Molecule: long non-coding RNA, 2410 nt
Filed under: Daphnia pulex (common water flea)
Lineage: Eukaryota; Metazoa; Arthropoda; Branchiopoda; Diplostraca; Daphniidae
Description: uncharacterized LOC124207270, transcript variant X7
Source: RNAcentral
CAAACGUGCAUUGACAUAUCUGCCAGAUGCGGUGACUAUCCAGAUUAUUAAAAAAAUAAAAGCCUCGGUAACCUAACUCGCACUUGCAGCCAGUUGCGCCGUUGUUCGGUUUUUGGGGACGAGGUAACAGGUGACGAUGUACCAAGCGUAAGUAACGUGAAACAUUCGGAAGGUGACGCAUUCUCCGCUGCUGUAGUUGGCUAUGAAAUCGAAUUUUUCAUGAAAAUGACGAAUCGUAUGAAAACGCGAUUAUGCAGUUUCCAUAUCGUAUGACAGACGACGAAACGUUGAAAUUAACCUAUUUGGUCCACACAUAGGCGAGGUACCGAAUAUUAGGCGGCUGCUCUGAACAGCGUUGCGAAUCGCCUAGGUUCCUGAUGGAUUUUUUGAGCCACACCAUUAUUCUCCGCAUCCGUUCCUAUAAUGCAUGUGGGCUCUUUAAACAGACGAAUAUUUUCUACAGCAGCUGAUGAUGCUCUUAUUUGCGACGAUAAAAUGUACUUAAAUUGCAGCCUUCGUUACUCGGGAAUAGGUGAAGAUAAUACUGACGACUAUAUUGAGUAGGAGGAGUACACCACGUAUUCGAGUGUUACACGUUUGCAUAUUGCUGAGCACUGCUGCAGCGCAGCUGUAUGCCAGGUGUAGUCUAGUCAUUCUGCUAGUUAGUCAAUACCUGCUAGUCUGCUAUUUAGUCAAUAGAUUCUGCCUUGGACCAAUUCAACUCGAUUUGUUUGACAUCUGUCCUGACGAAACCCGAUUGAACCAGAUCCGGGACAAAUAAAUCGAUUGGUUAUCGAAGGCAAUUAUUGCAACGGGUAUAAAUGCCGCAUGUUCAUGGCUGAUCGAUCCACAGUUUCAACCGACUCUGCACAAUCGAGCUGAAAAUGAAAGUCCUUGCUAUCUUUGUCCUGCUUGCCGUCUGCAUCGCUGUCGCAUCGGCCGACCAUCAUGGCAAAAAGCCCAAUCAUGGUUCCCAUUCAGGAACUCGUCAUCCUGGCACCCACAAGCCUCACCACCAUCAUACGCGCAAACCCAGAGAUCUGAGUGAUGAACCGGAACUUCGCGCCAAUACUCGUGCCCCUAAGCCAACGCGUAAGCCAAACCCUACUCAUGGGCCCAAGCCGUCCGCUAAGCCAAAGCCGACUAGCGCACCCAAGCCGACUCGUCGACAUGGACCCGUCGCUCCUUCGCGCAAGCCAACAACUCGUAAGCCUUAAGUGGCGAAGACGUUAGCCUAUAUAGAGCUCACUGAUUUCAAUCAGUUGAUGCCGGAUACCGUUCUGCAUGAAGAUCUGAUCAUCUGGGGUUAUACAACAGGUGACAGGCGAUUUCCACGGUUUCCAUUAAAUAGGCUCAAAACAUUUGAAAAAAAUGGUAUGUUUAAUUUGUUGGAUUUAAUCGGUGAUUUUUGUUGAUUUCUGAUUAAAUAAAAACGAAUUAAAUUGCCUGAAAAUGUUUAUUGGUUUCUGAAUUAAAAGACCCUGUCGAAGGCCAGAGGUUUGUGUUCUUAAGUUGUGGUUUAAACUUGAAACUGAAUUGUGCAUGAUUUUCUGUUUUGCUAAUACCAGCAUACCAGAAAUUUUUAGUUAAUAUUCAUCGUAAUUAUCUUGAGUUUCUAUUGAUGUUGGUAUGUCACUAACCCCAGCAUGGACACUAGUUGUUUUUUUUUCCGAACCUGUUUAGAUAUGUUAACAUAGAGACAGCUAUGGGAGCAUAAUCAAGGCCAUGGGUAAAUCUUCAUCAGGUUUAUUGCAGAAACUUGAAAAAUUCACAUGAAAAUCAAAAUAUGCAGGGCACAUACCAACAUGUGUUGCAUUUUUCUGAAUCUCUUACUCAAGUAGUAGAUGCGAUAUGACUGUUUGAUGCUAAAUUGGAACCCUAACUCAAACACAGAUAACCGCUAAUGCUGCCUUACAGCCACAGACAAGAAAAUGAUUCUUUUCUUCAGAAAUUUUAAGUUUUAUCUUUUGUCUUGACCCCCCCAUACUUUAUACCCCCAUACCCCCAAUCUCAUCAGAUUUAUUUGUAUGUGAUGUGUAUCUGAUUAUUCAUUUCUCAUGAGUCGUGAUGUUAAGCUUCGGAACCGGAAUAGUUCGGAAAGCAAUCCAUCCAUCCGUUCCGUACGUGGUAAUUCGUGGAGUAAUCUUUUGGCUGUCGGUAGGUGGCUAAAAUCAUGUCCACCAGCCACCAGGUGGCGCGAGUGUCUUUGUGAGGACGAAAUUUUCGCCAUUGUUUCCCGAGACGCUGACUGAAAGUGUAUUCCAAAUUCAGUACGGAAUUGCGGUGUCAAUUUACAUUUUCAUCUAUGAAAUUUAAUGGGCAAUCUGGUGUAAAAUGUCCACUUGGCCAAAUGAUCUGACAUUCUGACCACAUGAGGUGAAACUGCUGUCCAUUUUGCUGAAAUGUCGUC